AGAGUCGGCGGUCGGAGCGGGGUGACGAGGACCUCAUGCACGAGGCGGCGAAGGACCGAUGGCAGAGAACCGAGUGCGGCGCGAGGCGGUGGCCGCGGCCAGCGGGUGGGUGCGUCUGGGCGCAGGCGGGCACCGGGGCCCAGGGUCUGGUCCUCCUCCUUGUGGCGGGUCCAGGGCGCGGCCGCCUCGCCCAGCCCCUAGGCGCACUCGUCCCGGCGCGGAGGCGGCGGCGACAAGGCAGUCGCUGGGUGCCGCGUCUGCCGGCGGAGACGCAGACCGACGCGCAAGAGGCGACCGCGGCUGCCUCGGCUCCCAGCUCUGUUAACUGCGCGGAGUACUUUCGACUUUGGAGAUAGGAGGGCGAUCGCCUCCCCCACCCACCGCCUCCGCCCACCACCCACCGCCUCCGCCCCUCCGAGCAACUUUUCCCGGUGCCUGCGAGCUCCCCCUCCGCGCCGAGCCGAACGUCCCGGCCCGCCGCGCUUCGUGCCGCCGCGCGCGCAGGGAAGGCCGCUUCUCCUUCAAAGCUGGCACGGCCGCGAGUCCGGAACAAUAGUCGGGGUGUCCCGAAUGCCAGGAGCACGGCCACUGCCCGCCGGGCUGUGGGUGGCACAGGAAUGGGGGUUGCGUGGUGGAUGCAGAGCGGGGUGCAUCCCUGGAUGGCAUCGCUGGAGCGCUCGCCGCUCCGGCGACAUCGCGAGCGGUGCAAACCGGGCCGCCUGGAGCCCGUGACGCGGUGGCGGCGAGGGCGGUGGGGCUGCCUGUCCUCGGGCUACAGGACUGGGGCUCCUGGGGACCCCAAGCUGCUCGAGCCCAGGGCUGCUGGCGCCAACAGAGCUGUGCCCUGAGGACCCGGCCUCCCCGCCCGGGGGGAGGCCGCACAGGAGCGUCCCCAGCAGGUCCCGCGAAGGCGUAACAGAGCCACAAACUUUUGCCGACUCCCGCGGCCGCGGCCGCCGGCAGCCCGACUCCGGCCGCGGUGCUCAUUUAAGGUGGCGCGGGCACUAGCCGAGCAGGCUGGCCUCUGGCCGCGCUUUUGUCCCUGCGAUUCCGCUUGGGCGCGCUGCCUCCUUAAGGAAAAGCACGUGGGCAGGGGCCGCAGCCCCCGCGAGAUACCCGGGGCGUCGGCGGACAUUAGCCGCUAGGACCUUAGGCGAGAAAAUGUGGACGCAUCCCCGCCGGCCCUGAGGCCAGAGAAUCCCCCCUCAACUGGUUGCACCUCAUGUCCCUCCCGCACACGUUGACUCUCCCUCCUAAUCCCCAGGACCCCGAGGGCUCUCCCACAUCUCCCGCAGCAAGAGCCACCGAUCCCCCUUAAGAAGCGUUGACUGUACGGCGGCGCCAGAGGGCCAAACUAAGUUCGGUUUCGGGAAACGCUCUCGGGAGCAGUUCUGUAAAUCCCUGCUGGGAGCAGAGACUGCGAAAAGCUGAGUCCGCCGAUCGUGCCCGGGACAAGGCUGCCUUCCACUCGCCCUCGCCGCAUCUACCUGGUAGGCGGCAUGCGCACGGGCUUAGAGGCUUGAGAGCCUCUGGAAGAGAAAGGGUCCCAGGAAGGAAACCUGCCCCCGGCCUAAGUGUCGGCGCCCAGAUCACCACGAACCCCGCACCUAGGCGCCGCCCACCAAGUUCCAAAGAAGUCCGAGGCGACCUGGGAGUCGGUCGGAUCCCAGCCGAGAAAAGAAACAAGCAGGAUAGCAAUUCUUAGGGGAGCCACCCUGGGAGUUUUAGGCAGCGUUUGCCUUUCCCUGGUUUUCUUCACCAAGCCCCAUCCUCCCCCCGCAUACCACCCCCAGUCAAAAGAGUGGGAGAAAAUGCACAGUUCGAAGUCGGUGAGAGCAAAAAUGGGUCUAGUAAAUCAACCCGUGGUGGUAGCUAAAAGGUUUGGGGCUGCAAAGAAACAAACUGUAAGUUUUGAGCAACAAACUUUUUCUUCAAUCUGUAAUAUGUCGAAAUGGGAAGGGGGUGUUGCAAAAGCCAACUACCACUGUCAAACUUAGCCCGUUUACAACAUGGGGAAAGGCGUAUUUCUUACUAAUAUCUCAACAACGAUAACAAUGCUGUAUCCUUCCUUACCUUGAUGUUGAACUGCGAAUCCUCCUCCGGAUCAAUGUCCAGGAACUUAGAAGAAUUGGUGAUAUUAGGAGUUCAGUACUUCUGGAAAAAAAUGCAAAUGGUUUAGCCAGGAUCUUUCCUGUCUGAUUCGUCACUAUUAUUAUAUCUGAUGAUGCGAAUGGUUGGAGCGAUUCAAUCCUAAGUCAUUAAUGAGCUAUUUUAUAAACACCACUGUCUGAAGAUCUUCAUUUACAUUUUGCUAAGGAUCACUUCGCUAACCUCACAGGCUUGUGUCAACAGCAUGAUUUGCAGGACUUCAGUUACACUCUUAUAAACAACACGGCUGUAUUGUUAAUCGGUUAAUAUUUUAUAAAGUGUAAAUAUUUUAUUAUGUUUUGAAGGGAACUAUUGAUUCUAAAUUAUUAAACCCCUGAGAAGGACUAUUUAAAUGAAAUAUACAAUUAAGUACAAUUAAAUGUACAUUGUGGUUAGUUUGUUUUCAGAUUCUGCACCCUUUUAAAUUCAUUGCUUUUCUCUUUACUGGAGUUUCCUCUUGUCCAUUUCUGAUACUGAAAAAAAUCUAUCAUGUUAGGAAAAAGCCUAAAUUAUUUAAAGUUGCAUUAAACUUAGAGGAAAAUGUCAAAUACGAUUAAUUAUGACCAGAAAUGUAUUUUGGAUGUUUGUAGAGUUGUAUUUCAUAUCACAUUUUACAAAUUUCUUCCGAUUUAAAGGAGAGUUCUAGGAAGUUUUGUGAUCUAUGUCCGGUGUGGGUUUUUGUCCUCUCGAGUUUUGUCUCUAAUAAAGGCCUUUUUUGUUUCAAAU
RNAcentral lists this long non-coding RNA (2874 nucleotides) under Homo sapiens (human). RNAcentral describes it as "HSALNT0308199". The record is from RNAcentral. Lineage: Eukaryota; Metazoa; Chordata; Mammalia; Primates; Hominidae.